Molecule: long non-coding RNA, 231 nt
Filed under: Brassica rapa (field mustard)
Lineage: Eukaryota; Viridiplantae; Streptophyta; Magnoliopsida; Brassicales; Brassicaceae
Description: long non-coding RNA (BRAP_LNC008878)
Source: RNAcentral
CCGGUUCGGCCUCUCCUCGUCCUGACUGCGCGUAUCAUCAGUACUGUCCGCGUCCGAGUCAGUGUCAUGCGGAUCCGGCUGAUUCCUUCCGGGUGGUCGAGGUCCGUUGGGCCUGCCUCCCUGCCGUAGCUGAGCAAGCUCGGCGGUGAUAGCCCUAAGACUCGCCCUCAGCUCUUCAUUGUCAGCUAGGAGCUGAGCGUUUAUGGCCGCUUGGUCUUGACCUACAUCUCC